UGGGGAAUAUUGGACAAUGGGCGCAAGCCUGAUCCAGCAAUGCCGCGUGGGUGAAGAAGGUCUUCGGAUUGUAAAGCCCUUUCGGCGGGGACGAUGGUGACGGUACCCGCAGAAGAAGCCCCGGCUAACUUCGUGCCAGCAGCCGCGGUAAUACGAAGGGGGCGAGCGUUGCUCGGAAUGACUGGGCGUAAAGGGCGCGUAGGCGGACCUCGCAGUCGGGCGUGAAAUCCCCGGGCUCAACCCGGGACGUGCGCCCGAGACGCGUGGUCUGGAGUGGGGGAGAGGGUCGCGGAAUUCCCAGUGUAGAGGUGAAAUUCGUAGAUAUUGGGAAGAACACCGGUGGCGAAGGCGGCGACCUGGCCCUUGACUGACGCUGAGGCGCGACAGCGUGGGGAGCAAACAGG
This 404-nucleotide ribosomal RNA is filed under the name uncultured bacterium. RNAcentral describes it as "bacterial SSU rRNA". It matches the Rfam family "Bacterial small subunit ribosomal RNA", at positions 355 to 776 of the family's 1533-position model. The record is from RNAcentral.